This 612-nucleotide long non-coding RNA is filed under the name Elaeis guineensis (African oil palm). Its description in RNAcentral is "long non-coding RNA (EGUI_LNC031882)". Lineage: Eukaryota; Viridiplantae; Streptophyta; Magnoliopsida; Arecales; Arecaceae. The record is from RNAcentral.
UUCAUUAGGGAGUCGGACCCAUAGCGUUGUCGUCGGCUACCAAUGAAGUAGGCUAUGAACGAUUGAUCUAAUUGCUUGAAGGAAUAAAUCAAGAUCGACUGCAGGCUUGAGCACUAAUACGAGCUGCUUUCAAUAGGUGGAGGAAAAAGCUUGGCAGAAGAUCCUAUCAGUUGCCCCAUGUAAGAGCAUGAUAGUUUUGAAACUUCUAUGUGAUCCACAGGAUCAAUGGUCCCAUCAUAUGCUUCUAGCUAUGAUAUUUUGAAGUUGGAUGGGAUUGGUUCAUUCAUGAUUUUCUAUUAAAGCACAGGUCGGCAUUGAAGGUGACCUCCCCAUCUUGUGUUGAGGUCCGAUCUUAUAGUGCUUCAAUUUGUCUAUGCAUCUCUUGAAGUUUAUGAUAUACAUUGGCAUCUUAAGCAUUGUAAUGCUUGGAGUGCUGAGGUGAUCUUCUCGGGGUAGAAUCUUUUCUUAACUGAGUCAAGGAGUGCCUCUAAUGCCCCUAUUCCGGACUCCUCGAUCGAUUGUGCCAGCUCUACUGCACUCGAUCUAGACUUCAAGGAGGUAACAGAGGUUGUUGUUGUUAUCAAGGUGCUUGGUGUAGGAUCAAUUGAGGGG